GCGGGCUACAAAGCUCUGCGCCCGGUGGUUGGUUUCCUCUUGUCGGAGUCGGUUUCGGGCUCCGAGUCUGGUGGCGAGCGGCCCCCGCCCCCGUUCCCCCCUCCCCCCGCCCUCCGAGGUGGCACCUGCGCAGGAGUCUGAGACCUCCUUUUCCAGAGUUCCAGAAUGGAGACUGAAGGGUACCUAGAGACACAAAGAAGUAAAGAAGUCCAGAAUGAUAAAAUAGGGUCACCUUCAAAUGAGAUGAUGGCUGAGGAGCCAGAAGUUGUCCUAAUAUCAGCUCCCCAGGUCCAGGCUCCACCAGAGCACCUCGAUGCAGACUCAGUUGAAGAUGUGGAGACCAUGCCACGAAGGAAUCCUCCCAAUGCGGCAGCCUCUAGGCAGAGGUUCCGGAGAUUCCGCUAUGAGGACGCAGCUGGGCCCAGGGAUGUCCUCAGACAUCUCCAGGAGCUUGCCGGACAGUGGCUGAGACCCGAUAUUCACACAAAGGAGCAGAUUGUGGAGAUGCUGGUGCAGGAGCAGUUCCAGGCCGUCCUGCCUGAGGAGCUCAGAGCUCGGGCCCAGAGAUGUCAGCCUGGGGUCAGAAUCACUGGCUAAGUUCUGCCACUGGGUUCUUGCUCAGCCUACAUGUGAGAAGUAGCCAAAUGUUCUCUUUGUUGCAAGAUCCAAGGACAGUCAUGGGGGAAAUGUGAACCUCGGUUUUUUUGAGCUUGCCUUUGACUAGUUGUAAUAAGAAUCCAUCAAAACCCAUGUCUGGACCUCUCUGGCUGAGGCAGCUCUAGUUCCUGGGACUGAGCUCUAGAAAGAGCUUCUGUUAGGACAAUCAGCCUGUUGCUUGUUUUUGCUCUGCUGAAUGCCUCCUUUUUUGCACUUUCUGACAUGCUUUAAUAUAUUGUUAUGUAUCCAAAGCAGUAAUUGCUUCAACUUUCAGAAUUCUUGACUCUUGCUGUGGUGGCAUGAAUGGAAGCUUCUGUAACCCCACCAGUAACUCACUUGAUAUGUCCUUGAAAUAUUAAAGUUUGGUCCUCAA
This is a long non-coding RNA of Nyctereutes procyonoides (raccoon dog), 1030 nucleotides long. RefSeq lists it as uncharacterized. NCBI's taxonomy places the organism in Eukaryota, Metazoa, Chordata, Mammalia, Carnivora, Canidae. The record is from RefSeq and is a predicted model, not a curated record. The transcript is spliced from 2 exons.